RNAcentral lists this ribosomal RNA (433 nucleotides) under uncultured bacterium. Its description in RNAcentral is "partial 16S ribosomal RNA". It matches the Rfam family "Bacterial small subunit ribosomal RNA", at positions 29 to 507 of the family's 1533-position model. The record is from RNAcentral.
AACGAGCGCUGGCGGCAUGCCUAACACAUGCAAGUCGAACGAGACCUUCGGGUCUAGUGGCGCACGGGUGCGUAACGCGUGGGAACCUGCCCUUAGGUUCGGAAUAACACCCCGAAAGGGGUGCUAAUACCGGAUAAUGUCUUCGGACCAAAGAUUUAUCGCCUUUGGAUGGGCCCGCGUUGGAUUAGCUAGUUGGUAGGGUAAAGGCCUACCAAGGCGACGAUCCAUAGCUGGUCUGAGAGGAUGAUCAGCCACACUGGGACUGAGACACGGCCCAGACUCCUACGGGAGGCAGCAGUGGGGAAUAUUGGACAAUGGGCGAAAGCCUGAUCCAGCAAUGCCGCGUGAGUGAUGAAGGCCUUAGGGUUGUAAAGCUCUUUUACCCGGGAUGAUAAUGACAGUACCGGGAGAAUAAGCCCCGGCUAACUCCGUG